This 254-nucleotide ribosomal RNA is filed under the name uncultured bacterium. Its description in RNAcentral is "partial 16S ribosomal RNA". It matches the Rfam family "Bacterial small subunit ribosomal RNA", at positions 524 to 776 of the family's 1533-position model. The record is from RNAcentral.
UACGGGGGGGGCAAGCGUUGUUCGGAUUUACUGGGCGUAAAGGGCGCGUAGGCGGUCAGCACAAGUCAGUUGUGAAAUCUCCGGGCUUAACUCGGAAAGGUCAACUGAUACUGUGCGACUAGAGUGCAGAAGGGGCAACUGGAAUUCUCGGUGUAGCGGUGAAAUGCGUAGAUAUCGAGAGGAACACCUGCGGCGAAGGCGGGUUGCUGGGCUGACACUGACGCUGAUGCGCGAAAGCCAGGGGAGCGAACGGG